This 492-nucleotide ribosomal RNA is filed under the name uncultured bacterium. Its description in RNAcentral is "bacterial SSU rRNA". It matches the Rfam family "Bacterial small subunit ribosomal RNA", at positions 355 to 853 of the family's 1533-position model. The record is from RNAcentral.
UGGGGAAUAUUGCGCAAUGGGCGAAAGCCUGACGCAGCAACACCGCGUGAGGGAUGACGGCCUUCGGGUUGUAAACCUCUUUCAGCUCCGACGAAGCGAAAGUGACGGUAGGAGCAGAAGAAGAUGCGGCCAAACUACGUGCCAGCAGCCGCGGUGACACGUAGGCAUCAAGCGUUAUCCGGAUUUAUUGGGCGUAAAGAGCUCGUAGGCGGUUCGGUAAGUCGGGUGUGAAAACUCUGGGCUCAACCCAGAGAGGCCACUCGAUACUGCUGUGACUAGAGUGCGGUAGGGGAGCGGGGAAUUCCUGGUGUAGCGGUGAAAUGCGCAGAUAUCAGGAGGAACACCGGUGGCGAAGGCGGGUCUCUGGGCCGGAACUGACGCUGAGGAGCGAAAGCGUGGGGAGCGAACAGGAUUAGAUACCCUGGUAGUCCACGCCGUAAAACGGUGGGCGCUAGGUGUGGGGAUCGUUUCCACGAUCUCCGUGCCGUAGCU